RNAcentral lists this ribosomal RNA (308 nucleotides) under uncultured bacterium. RNAcentral describes it as "partial 16S ribosomal RNA". It matches the Rfam family "Bacterial small subunit ribosomal RNA", at positions 505 to 807 of the family's 1533-position model. The record is from RNAcentral.
GAGACAGCAGUAGCCGCGGUAAAACAGAGGGUGCGAGCGUUAAUCGGAUUUACUGGGCGUAAAGCGUGCGUAGGCGGCUUUUUAAGUCGGAUGUGAAAUCCCUGAGCUUAACUUAGGAAUUGCAUUCGAUACUGGGAAGCUAGAGUAUGGGAGAGGAUGGUAGAAUUCCAGGUGUAGCGGUGAAAUGCGUAGAGAUCUGGAGGAAUACCGAUGGCGAAGGCAGCCAUCUGGCCUAAUACUGACGCUGAGGUACGAAAGCAUGGGGAGCAAACAGGAUUAGAUACCCCUGUAGUCCCUGUCUCUUAUAC